GGCAAUGACCGGGGGUACAACCUCCUUUUCGGUAAAAAAAAUGCUGGGCGAUGAUGCUGACUCUGGCUGAAAUAAACAUGUCUUGAGCAAUCAAGACUGUUGUGGCCUGUGGGCACUAAAUUAGAGCCCACCCUUGCCUCUCUUGCAGCCUGUUCAAUUCAUCGGUAAUGUUGGAUGUUCUUCACCUCGGAUGGUCAUUCUGACGAGUGAUAACCAGGGCAGUUCGUCUACAUUGCGAUGGGUAUGUUAUGCAACAAGAGAUGUGAGUGUUGGGCUUGAAGAUCAAAGACAAAACUGAGCCCUCUUUUGCUAUGCUAUAAAUACACAAAUUUUCCUUAUCUAUUAUACAAUGUUCUUCCUUCUUUUAUAUUCCUCUAUUUGUGUUUAUGUGAGUGAAGAUCCAUCUGGACUUGGGAUUUUUUUUUUGGUGACGAACACGACCACCCUAAGUUUACAUGACUUGAUUCAUGGUCUCGCUGGCCAUUUUCCAUGGCGCCGCCGGCGCCGACUCCAUGGCUUUCGCUUCUCACCUAGCCAAGGUGAGCUGGUGCCGGCUACUGCUAGUGGCAGUACCAUCUCUUAGCGUCAACUAAUGGCAUCAGCACAUUUUUUUUGCUCUAGGAGAAUUUGCUGUCGUUUCCCAAGGUAAUCUGAUUCUCCAUCAUGUUUGCCUGGGCAAUUCUGUUCCUGUUGUCUCCACCCUGUCCAACUGAGGUACCAGCAGCUAGAUUGAAUACAUCCAGCGCACAAUCAGUUCCCUGUGUUGCCAAAUCAAUCAAUCCAACAAGGGAGGGAGAGCUCCUUCACAAUUUCAUCUAGAUCCACCCAUAUACUCCCUCCGUUCCGAAUUACUUGUCGCAAGUAUGGAUGUAUCUAGAUGUAUCUAGAUGUAUUUUAGUUCUAGAUACAUCCAUUUCUGAGACGAGUAAUUUGGAACGGAGGGAGUAUGUGUUAAUGUUAAAGAUCUGGAUCAAUCUCAUGUUCCCGUAGCGUGUCACCAGUUGUUCUGUCGAUGCUUUCAAGAAAAUACGUAGUAUAAUUUACAGCCGAACGCCCUUGUUUUACUCCCAUUUUUAUUUAUUUCGAGUGUUCCUACACCUACUCCGCGGAUCUUGUAAUUUAGAAUCUGCAUGUACCACUGUAUUAGGCACAGUCCAAAUGCUUGAACAAUCUGAAAUUAUAACUAGACUCUGAAUGCUACCAUCAUAUAUAAAUCUGAUAAAUUUUUGUGCCUACAGUUGUACCAUGGCAUCAAUAGAGCUUGUGCUUGUGUAAUAGUACUUCAUAAUUCAUUUUGAUCAAAUGUAUACAGAGGUUGCAGAGGCUAUGGAAGAAAUGCGAACUUACUUACCUGAGAAAAGUGCAUUGGAUUGUGACGAUGAUGACAGUGGAGGUUCGCCAUUGCAACAGAAGAAGAAAACAUUGAGCCCUGCUAAAACCUCUGACCCUCCCCCGAUCCCUAUCUCUCGUGUCUUCGGUGAGGAUGGCAUGUGGCCGCCGCGUGUAGGACAUCAUCGUCGUGGAAUGGAUCAGCUAGCGACGAGGUCUCCGUCUUCGUCACACGCCUAUCAGUCGUGGGUGCCUCUGCCGCCCGCAGAGGCCUGCUCCACUGCGGAAUGCGGUGCUCAGAUUUGGUGUCCGAGUUGGAGCUUGCAUACUCAUUGCCAUAUCGAUAAAACCAUCCAUGUAAUUGAAUGAAGGCUUGGUUCUUGCAAUUUUAUCUCCACUGAGUGAGAAGAUAUACUUGAAAAGUUGGGGCCUUCAAGUCAUUGAAUGACAGCUCGAUCCUCUCUUUUCUAGAGCCGUUAUACAUUUCCGACCCUGGAGAUAAUCAAAUGACGUAGCAGUUAAAAUCGUGAUAUAAUUGAAACUUAAAUUGUGUGUAGAAUCUGAAGUAUGUGCUUUAUGACUUUGAUCUUAAGCUUCUGAAGUAUCAUGAACAGGGCUACUAUUUCAUACUCCCUCCGUCCCAAAAUAAGUGACUUGACUUUGUACUGUACAAUUUACUGGCUUAGGUAGGUGCACGCGCCUUCUCGAGAUUCUGCUCGCACGAUGCGAGUCGGGCGGUUGGACUGAUUUCCUUGAUGGACUACGAUCGAAUCUGAAAGUGGCGCUUGCGCUGUGUUUUGUGUAGCAAGUAUGUUACUUGGUGUAGUUCUUUCAAUUAUGAAACGUAUUUGCGGUAUCAUAUGAGAGGUGGGAUUUGCUUGGUCCCGGUUUCGUCGUGGGCAGAGCUUUAUUAGUAUUCCUUGUCGGUCCAUGUCGUCUAGAUAACCAGGUAAUGUCUUCCCACAUAGCAGAAUCUUGCAAAGUUAGCAUUGAAUUUGUUUGCGUUAAGAUGUGUUUUGUUUCUACAGAUUCAGUUUUUCAACAUGGUUGCCUCAUGUCUAUGUCCAUGGUUACUGAGGCAAGUAGUAUUGUUCUUCAUUUUCCAAUUAAAGCGAAUAGUUGCACGAGCAAUUGCUAUAUGAGCCACCCAAUUCCAAAUGCAAAUGAUUCCCACUCAAUUCAGAUUAUUUUACCACAAAAGCAACUUGGCCGCAAGUCAGAAAUUUGACGACUUUCUAUCUGGCUCUCAAAUAAUUAUCGCUGGAUCUAAAUUUCUAAAUUAAGUAUCUGUUGUUUCACUGUGACAAGUAUGUUGGUAUACAUUUGCUAGGUAUGUCUUAUGUUGCUCGUACAAUCGCAAUGGCGUGCCAAAAGGGAGGUUAUUUUCAUCUGUGUCUGCUGAAGCAUAGACUGAUAACCCACCGUCCGAACUAAAGCCUGGAAUUGAUCUAUGUUUUUUUAUAUGUAUGACAGAUAUGAACCAGUUAAAUUUUUUGAGCAACCAUAUGAACCAGUUAAUGAACCUUCUCUUUAUAAUUGUUGUCAAAUCAGCAAGUUUUGCUUUAUAUGAGAAUACAGUGUUAGUCUCAUGUUGUAGAUGUUCAUGGCCUUUGUUUUUUCUCUUUGCAGAGUUAUGAUGCUACUACUCACUUUGAGACAACUGUGACAGGUGUUCUUAACACUUUCGGCAAAAGUGCUGACAUUUCUUCAGCUUUAUAUAUGCAUGAGUGAGCCUAAGCUUUUUCUGUUCAAAUACUCCAUGUUUUCCCUCAGUUUUUUGUUGUGCACCUGUGGGAUAGAUGAUGAUAAGUUGAUAAGCUUCUUUAUCUUUUCUUUGGGACCUAGGUAUUGAUGUUAGUAUUUUGUAUCAUUAUCUUAACCUUGGUAGACUGAUGGUUAGCGUCAGGCAAUCGCAGAGAUUUAUUGAUUUUUAUAGUCCCCUUCUGUAUAAAUCUUAUAUUUGUUCUGUUCGUCAUGAGUGAAUAAUUACCUAAUUGUUGUUAAUCUGAGUUUACAUUUUCAUAUUUAUUCAUCAAUAUGGCUUCUGGGUGGCAAGAUUAGCUGAUUUAAAGCAUUCUCUUUGGGCAAACAUUAGUCACUGCUACCCCAAAACCUGCAGAACAAGCUUGUUGUACAAUUGUUUUAACUCACAUAUAAGGGGCAAAUAAGCACGAAUGGAAAAGGAACACUUAAGAUUUCUUUAGUUGUGCUCAUUUUACAUUAGUGGACAAAGUUACAUAAGUUUGCCUGUACCACUACUGAUAUCAGCGAUUAAAUUUAUAUGCUUUUUAGUUCUAUAGGCUGAAAGUGAUGUUGAGGUUCUAAACAUUCCGUUUGACUGGAUUUUCUUCUCGAUGUGCAGCUAAAUUAGUCUUUCAGUUUGUUAACUUAGAUGAUAAGAAUUAUAUAUUAGUGUGUAAUUUUCAUUUGUUGGUGCUGAAGGUAUAGAUGGUGUUUGGUGUCCUUUUUUCUUUCUCCAAUUAGACAUUGUUAGUGUUUCUGUGAAGAUACAACUAGAAUUGCUCCGUUCGCUAGAUAACAUGUUCAGUUCUGGACGGUGGCACCUUUUAUUGUAUCCAGAUUCUGUUUACCUCUUUCUGAUUUGAUGUAAUGACUUAGUUACUUUGUACAUGUUGGAUUCUCCUUCGAAAAACCUUUGUACUCCCUCUGUCCCAUAAUAUAAGAGCGUUUUUUACACUAGGGAGUACUUGAUAUUGAAAUGGCAGGAUAAUCAAGCUUCCUUUCUGUACUGGAAGAAGCCAAACAGUGUGUAGUUACAAACAUCUUUGGUACCAUCUGUCGGUUUAGGGCGACCAUGAGCGCGUUCCCUUCUCUGAGAGUAAAUCCGAUCCACUCAUCUGAGUCAAUGUCGUCUACGAGGGAAAGAAUAUGCGCUUGGUCUCCAUGCUAGCUUAUUCCGUAACACUGAUUUUUUUUGUCUCCAUUGCUUGAUGUUCAUGCACAUGAGUGAUACGUAUUAGGGAAUAAAGCAGAAACACACAUGUACAUACAGUCUGGGUGCGCACAUGACAGAAAUGGGUGGAUAGGUUUAAACACAGUGAUUGUUACUAGCUUUUGUAUCGUUAUCAUGACAAAUAUUAGAGCAGCGAGGGAUUGGUUUCAGGAGAGUAGUAGUGUUAAUAACAACAUUUACAGUUAGUCUGCAUACUAAAUUCCAUACAAAUGUUUCAAACUAACGGUAUCUGUUAGGGUUUCCACUUGUGACGAAUGCAUUAGUCUGCACUCUUUAGAGUACCGGUUUAUAUCUUCCCAUUCCCCCCUCCCCCAUGUAUAUGUAUGGUAUUGCAUUGCGGCAGUAGUGGUAGUGGUACGCAACAAUGAACUUGACCCGCAUUGUUGUGCCUGGGACCUUCAGGUCAAAUUCUUCUAUGUCAAUGAGAACCAUGUUGGGAAUGUACCUUUUUCCAAGAAGAUAGCCGCUGGCUUCACCACUGGUACCCUCAUCGUUGUAUUCUCAAUCACUUUUUCCUUCCAUGUGAAAUGAAAUGCGCGCAAGUGGGAGCUACAUGCACCAGGCUGUCUUUUUUAUAUUAUAGUGAUAUAGAUCGCUAAAAUGUCGGUUGAUGCAUACACGUUGUGAUUUAUUUGGUUUUGGAUUGGUGUGGUUUGUAAUUGUUUUCCAAUUCAUGAGAGGGACAUUUUCCUGAAAGCUACAAGCUGUUUCAUUUUUAUUGUAGCUUUUGAAAUUUGAAUAGAACUGCCAUCUUUGAACUGAAGUGAAUAGAAAGGACUGAAAGGAGCUAGGGCACUGCUUCUUACUAUUUGUUUGAUAUUUGCUAUUGAGAUUUAGAAGUUUAUUAUUUUGGUUUUUUUGGUAAAUAUGGAUGUUGAUGUUUCCUCUCUUUUUCUAACCGCUACCAAUGUAACAUGUUGUUUGGUAUGUGCUAGCUAUAUUCAUAAAAUUCAUCUUUUACUGUUUAUAUGAUAAUCAUUAUUGUUGGCAUCAGAAGCUAUGAGUGGAUUUAUGUUAAGUGUCGACUCAUGUUUUGGUUUCUAUUCAUCGACCAAUAUCUGAUGUCAGCUUUUAUUUACAUACAUAACGUAUGGUUAUCCUUUUGUGUUGUGGUACACAAAAGAUGUGAUUUUUUUAUGGUCCAUAAUUCUCUGAUAGGAUUUCCCUGGUUUCUUUGCUUUGAAAACAACAUUGAUUCAUAACCUGAUUGCGACUGCAGGCUCAGAUAUUGAAGUGCACCAAUGUACAACUAUUGUUAGUUCAUCAGUCUACUUACAUUAAGCUGGUGCUGGGGUAUUUAUAUUUUAAUUACUAAUUAGUUAUGCCAAUUUGGUGAUUUAUAAAAAAAUCACUUUUGAUUCUUUGGAAUUUACUAGCCCAUAAUGUCCAUUUCUUUGGCUCCUACAAAAAAGUACAUUGCUUUGCAAAGUUAACUUCUAUAGGAGCUCUGAUUUGCAAACUUAACUAUCUAACGGUUUGGCAUGUUCUGAGAACCAAUAAAAGUUCUUAGUAUUCCUAGAUCAAAGCAACUAGCCCCCCUCCCCCUGACGCUUGAGCGGGCAAUGAUGAAGACGAGCGUCAGCUCGGAGGGGUUGCCGAGGGUGAUGGGGAUGUCGGGGUGGACGUGACGUGGAUGAAUGCAUCACAAAGUUGUACAUGUAGAUGAACUACAGCGGCAUGUCUUGGGGCUGCAAUACAACGACAUGAUGAAGAGGAGCAUCUGGUAGAUAUAGACAUAGUGUUAAGAUUGCUUGUUUAUUUGCUGAAUUUCACUUUUGGACAACCAUCAUAUGUAAUGCAUCAGCUGUACAUGCAUGUGCGUUAUCAAUCAGAGCUAAAAUCCAAUGGAAAGGGCGACAGCCUAUCUGGCACCGCACAAGCUUUCUCUCAGGAGGCGCCGCGGUUCCUUUGCAUGGAGAAAAUCCACUGGACAGUAAAGUCUUGCCGUUGGUUCCUUUGUUAUACGAGGAGAGUCUGGCAAGUUAUCCUCCUGCGCAGAGUUCAUGGGGUUUGCACCAGUUAGAUCAUCGUUAGCUAUAUACUCUAGCAAUUUGAUACAACUUCGUUUUUGUGCACAUUAGGUUGUUUGUCCAAACUAUAAUGCAAUGCUCCCUUAGUUUGUUUGAAUAUACUAUUUAUUAGUUAGUUUGAAUAUACAGCAAGAGCACGAGACUUACACCGAUUGCCACUAGUUAAAUAUAGUCUAGCAGUUAUGUGUUUUCUGUGUUUGUGUUGUAAUACUUUUCUUGUGAUGAAUAGUAUGGGCGACAGGUGAAAACGGGAUUUCAGUGAAAAUCUGGAAACUCGCCUCAUGGAGCAUUAGAUCCACAGGGAACGGCAGUGGCGGAGGACGGACAAAAGUUGAGGUAGGGCGGGCUUUAGCCACUCGCCACCAGCAAGGCCGAUGCGCCGCCUUGCACCCUGCCUGCACCGGACAAAUCAAGACAAAGUCCAAUUUACAGAGCAAUAUAGUCUACUGCCGGCCACUGUUGUACAUGCUGCAGUAUACCGACGAAGCGGCGAACAGAAAGACCAAUUCAGAUGCUUCAAAAGUAUCAAUUGAAGAAGGAAAACAAUGACGUUGAGGUUACCAUGAUUCACCUACUGAAUUAGUAGUACAAGGAGGGGUACGAGGAGGCUGAGGCAAUAAAACUAUGAUGUCAUAGUAGUACAAUUAGUACCUGAAUCAAAUGAUGUACUAUGUUGCUUACCUGUGCAAGGCUACAACUACAAGGAGGGUGAGGCAUGAUAGGCGAUGGAGGAGCGGCUGGUUUGAAGCGUCCGGCUGUAGAUCCUCUUAUAGCCCAAUGGUUCGAGUCUGACUUGAUGUUUGGCAGAAACCAAGACACAGCUAUUUCAAAUUAAAUGUUGAUGCGGAGUAUGAUAAUGACACCCUGGCUAUUUCAAAUUAAAUGUUGAUGCGGGGUAUGAUAAUGACACCCUAGCAGGAACGGACGGAGCAGUGAUCUGAUACCAUCAUGGUAAAUUUAUUGCUUCUGCCAACAAAUCUUUGUUUUAGUUCGUUCACAGUUGAAGCCAUUGUGAUAAGGUUUGGUUUGAAUCUUGAUUGUAUAGUCGGAUGCAGUAGAUUGAGCUCAACUCGGAUAGUACCGAGGUGGUGACUGCAUUGAACAAUGGAUAUUCUUCUUCAGUUGCUUCUGCCAUCAUUGAUGAUUGUUAUUUCAUGUCAUUAGAUUUUACUCAUGUCAUGAUAUGACCAUUGUAAUAGAGAGUGCAAUUGAGUAGCUCAUGAACUAGCUAGAAUAGCUAGAUUUUCUCCUCCGAGUGUUUGGUUGGAUAAUGCCCCUGGUGAGGUUGUCACUUUCCUUGUAAACGAUGCCACAUUAUUUUUGAAUGAAUAAAGGAGGAGAUUAUUGUAAAAAA
Non-coding RNA from Triticum urartu, 7687 nucleotides. The record is from RefSeq and is a predicted model, not a curated record. Lineage: Eukaryota; Viridiplantae; Streptophyta; Magnoliopsida; Poales; Poaceae.